RNAcentral lists this ribosomal RNA (241 nucleotides) under uncultured Staphylococcus sp. RNAcentral's name for it is "partial 16S ribosomal RNA". It matches the Rfam family "Bacterial small subunit ribosomal RNA", at positions 99 to 334 of the family's 1533-position model. Lineage: Bacteria; Bacillati; Bacillota; Bacilli; Caryophanales; Staphylococcaceae. The record is from RNAcentral.
CGGACGGGUGAGUAACACGUGGAUAACCUACCUAUAAGACUGGGAUAACUUCGGGAAACCGGAGCUAAUACCGGAUAAUAUUUUGAACCGCAUGGUUCAAAAGUGAAAGACGGUCUUGCUGUCACUUAUAGAUGGAUCCGCGCUGCAUUAGCUAGUUGGUAAGGUAACGGCUUACCAAGGCGACGAUGCAUAGCCGACCUGAGAGGGUGAUCGGCCACACUGGAACUGAGACACGGUCCAG